Molecule: ribosomal RNA, 203 nt
Filed under: Bacillus sp. cl115
Lineage: Bacteria; Bacillati; Bacillota; Bacilli; Caryophanales; Bacillaceae
Also listed under: 1 other name
Description: 16S rRNA. Bacterial SSU
Rfam family: Bacterial small subunit ribosomal RNA
Source: RNAcentral
CUUUAUUGGAGAGUUUGAUCCUGGCUCAGGAUGAACGCUGGCGGCGUGCCUAAUACAUGCAAGUCGAGCGAAUGGAUUAAGAGCUUGCUCUUAUGAAGUUAGCGGCGGACGGGUGAGUAACACGUGGGUAACCUGCCCAUAAGACUGGGAUAACUCCGGGAAACCGGGGCUAAUACCGGAUAACAUUUUGAACCACAUGGUUC